ACUACGGGAUGCAGCAGUGGGGGAUAUUGCACAAUGGGGGAAACCCUGAUGCAGCGACGCCGCGUGAGUGAAGAAGUAUUUCGGUAUGUAAAGCUCUAUCAGCAGGGAAGAAAAUGACAGUACCUGACCAAGAAGCCCCGGCUAACUACGUGCCAGCAGCCGCGGUAAUACGUAGGGGGCACGCGUGAUCCGGAUUUACUGGGUGGAAAGGGAGCGUAGACGGUUAGGUACGUCUGGAGUGAAAGCCCGGCGCCCAACCCCGGGACUGCUUUGGAAACUGUGUAACUGGAGUACAGGAGGGGCAGGCGGAAUUCCUGGUGUAGUGGUGAAAUGCGUAGAUAUCAGGAGGAACACCGGCGGCGAAGGCGGCCUGCUGGACUGAAACUGACGUUGAGGCUCGAAAGCGUGGGGAGCAAACAGGAUUAGAUACCCUUGUAGUC
This 440-nucleotide ribosomal RNA is filed under the name uncultured bacterium. RNAcentral describes it as "partial 16S ribosomal RNA". It matches the Rfam family "Bacterial small subunit ribosomal RNA", at positions 338 to 795 of the family's 1533-position model. The record is from RNAcentral.